Anas platyrhynchos (mallard) is the source of this 586-nucleotide non-coding RNA. The record is from RefSeq and is a predicted model, not a curated record. Lineage: Eukaryota; Metazoa; Chordata; Aves; Anseriformes; Anatidae.
GUUAUUCUCCACACAGAUUUAAAAGGAGAAGCAGGAUAAGAUAUGUACUGUUGCUGCAUGAUCACAGAUAUUUAAUGAUAACAAGGCAGUAAAGCAACUAGAGGCUCUUGGAUGCAACCUCCCAUCUAAUACAGGAUUAUUAAGUAGCACGUAAGGACCCUUGCACUUCUUCAAUUUUAGCCAGUCUUAUUCCUCCUUUCCUACAUGUCCUUGGAUGCUACAUGGAGGACCACUACAGGAGCCACAAAUAGCCAAGAAGAAAAUUAUCCUCACUUUCACAUCCACAAUAGCUCAUGGAGCAAAGAAAACGCAGUUACACUGAAAAUACGUUCUGCUGUGGUAGUCCCACAGCCUGGGUCUACCAAGUGCAUAUGGCAUCUUCAGAAAGGUAACAAACUCCAAGAAGCAUCCACCCACUAUUUAAAUCACAGACUGCUUGAAGGGAUGUUUUUGCUGUGACAGACUCUGGAAAAAUCAUUACUUUAAUUGCAGUAUAUUUUAGUGACAAUUUCUCUGCGUGAACCACCAGUAUCAAGUCCCAGAUUAUGAUGUAAAAGGUUUCAGUAAAAUGACUCUAGAGUUUUUA